Molecule: ribosomal RNA, 1210 nt
Filed under: metagenome
Description: SSU rRNA
Rfam family: Eukaryotic small subunit ribosomal RNA
Source: RNAcentral
AGUCUGGUGCCAGCAGCCGCGGUAAUUCCAGCUCCAAUAGCGUAUAUUAAAGUUGUUGCGGUUAAAAAGCUCGUAGUUGGAUCUCGGUUUCACUCAGGCGGUACACCUUGCGGUGUUCACUGUCUGGGCGGACGUUUCUGUUGGUUCGCUGUUGGUUCUCUUAAUCGAGUGCCAAUUGGUGGCCAGCACGUUUACUUUGAAAAAAUUGGAGUGCUCAAAGCAGGCGUUACAGCCUUAACAUUAGUGCAUGGAAUAAUGGAAUAGGAUCUCGAUUCUAUUUCGUUGGCUUUCGGAGUCGAGGUAAUGAUUAAUAGGGACAGACGGGGGCAUUCGUACUGCGACGUUAGAGGUGAAAUUCUUGGAUCGUCGCAAGACGAACUACUGCGAAAGCAUUUGCCAAGAAUGUUUUCAUUAAUCAAGAACGAAAGUUAGAGGUUCGAAGGCGAUCAGAUACCGCCCUAGUUCUAACCAUAAACGAUGCCAACCGGCGAUCCGUCGUCGUUAAUUGAAUGACUCGACGGGCAGCCUCCGGGAAACCAGAGUGUUUGGGUUCCGGGGGAAGUAUGGUUGCAAAGCUGAAACUUAAAGGAAUUGACGGAAGGGCACCACCAGGAGUAGCCUGCGGCUUAAUUUGACCCAACACGGGAAAUCUCACCAGGCCCGGACACCGGAAGGAUUGACAGAUUGAGAGCUCUUUCUUGAUUCGGUGGGUGGUGGUGCAUGGCCGUUCUUAGUUGGUGGAGCGAUUUGUCUGGUUAAUUCCGAUAACGAACGAGACUCUGGCCUACUAACUAGAAGGGUCGUUCUUUACGAGCGGCCCUCUGCUUCUUAGAGGGACGGGCGGCGUUUAGCCGCACGAGAAUGAGCAAUAACAGGUCUGUGAUGCCCUUAGAUGUUCUGGGCUGCACGCGCGCUACACUGAAGGAAUCAGCAUGUUCUCCCCUCCCUGAAAAGGGCGGGUAACCCGUUGAAACUCCUUCGUGAUGGGGAUUGGAGAUUGUAAUUAUUCUCCAUGAACGAGGAAUUCCCAGUAGGCGCGAGUCAUCAGCUUGCGUCGAUUACGUCCCUGCCCUUUGUACACACCGCCCGUCGCUACUACCGAUCUAGUGAUUUAGUGAGGACUUCGGACUGGUCUCCAAGUUGGCUUCGGUCAGCUCGGAGUUCCGGAAAGAUGCCCAAACUUGAUCACUUAGAGGAAGUAAAAGUCGUA